This 846-nucleotide ribosomal RNA is filed under the name uncultured bacterium. Its description in RNAcentral is "bacterial SSU rRNA". It matches the Rfam family "Bacterial small subunit ribosomal RNA", at positions 29 to 858 of the family's 1533-position model. The record is from RNAcentral.
ACGAAACGCUGGCGGCACGCUAACACAUGCAAGUCGAGCGGGUUCGGAGGUUAGAACUGAGGGAUUAAGGAAUUGAUCUCUGAGAUCUAACUUCCGGAUAGCGGCGGACGGGUGAGUAACACGUGAGGAACCUGCCUUUCAGAGGGGGAUAACGUUUGGAAACGAACGCUAAUACCGCAUAAAGUAUAGAUACGGCAUCGUAUUUAUACCAAAGGAGCAAUCCGCUGAAAGAUGGCCUCGCGGCUGAUUAGCUAGUUGGCGGGGUAAUGGCCCACCAAGGCGACGAUCAGUAGCCGGACUGAGAGGUUGAACGGCCACAUUGGGACUGAGACACGGCCCAGACUCCUACGGGAGGCAGCAGUGGGGGAUAUUGCACAAUGGGCGAAAGCCUGAUGCAGCGAUGCCGCGUGGAGGAAGAAGGUCUUCGGAUUGUAAACUCCUGUCUUUGGGGACGAUAAUGACGGUACCUAAGGAGGAAGCUCCGGCUAACUACGUGCCAGCAGCCGCGGUAAUACGUAGGGAGCGAGCGUUGUCCGGAAUUACUGGGUGUAAAGGGAGCGUAGGCGGGGCGGCAAGUCAGGUGUGAAAUUUAUGGGCUUAACCCAUAACCUGCAUUUGAAACUGUCGUUCUUGAGUGAAGAAGAGGUUGGCGGAAUUCCUAGUGUAGCGGUGAAAUGCGUAGAUAUCGGGAGGAACACCAGUGGCGAAGGCGGUCAUCUGGACUGUAACUGACGCUGAGGCACGAAAGCGAGGGGAGCAAACAGGAUUAGAUACCCUGGUAGUCCACGCUGUAAACGAUGGAUGCUAGGUGUAGGUGAGAAGGACUCAUCUGUGCCGGAGUAACAC